UGGGGAAUCUUGCGCAAUGCGCGAAAGCGUGACGCAGCAACGCCGCGUGGGGGAAGAAGGCCUUCGGGUUGUAAACCCCUUUCAGUUGGGACGAAGCCUCGUCCGUUAAUAGCGGUGCGAGGUGACGGUACCUUCACAAGAAGCCCCGGCUAACUACGUGCCAGCAGCCGCGGUAAUACGUAGGGGGCAAGCGUUGUCCGGAAUCAUUGGGCGUAAAGAGCGUGUAGGCGGUCCGGUCAGUCCGCUGUAAAAGUCAAGGGCUCAACCCUUGAAAGCCGGUGGAUACUGCCGGACUAGAGUCCGGAAGAGGCGAGUGGAAUUCCUGGUGUAGCGGUGAAAUGCGCAGAUAUCAGGAGGAACACCUAUUGCGAAGGCAGCUCGCUGGGACGGUACUGACGCUGAGACGCGAAAGCGUGGGGAGCAAACAGG
RNAcentral lists this ribosomal RNA (429 nucleotides) under uncultured bacterium. RNAcentral's name for it is "bacterial SSU rRNA". It matches the Rfam family "Bacterial small subunit ribosomal RNA", at positions 355 to 776 of the family's 1533-position model. The record is from RNAcentral.